GCUAAUAACCGGAUAACAACAGAUGAUGCCUAUCAACUGUUUAAAAGAUGGUUCUGCUAUCACUCUUGGAUGGACCUGCGGUGCAUUAGCUAGUUGGUAGGGUAACGGCCUACCAAGGCGAUGAUGCAUAGCCGAGUUGAGAGACUGAUCGGCCACAUCGGGACUGAGACACGGCCCAAACUCCUACGGGAGGCAGCAGUU
RNAcentral lists this ribosomal RNA (201 nucleotides) under uncultured Lactobacillus sp. RNAcentral's name for it is "partial 16S ribosomal RNA". It matches the Rfam family "Bacterial small subunit ribosomal RNA", at positions 162 to 355 of the family's 1533-position model. The record is from RNAcentral. Lineage: Bacteria; Bacillati; Bacillota; Bacilli; Lactobacillales; Lactobacillaceae.